AGUGUGCUGGAAUCGCCUAGAGUUUGAUCCUGGCUCAGGAUGAACGCUGACAGAAUGCUUAACACAUGCAAGUCGACUCGAGUCUUCGGACUUGGGUGGCGCACGGGUGAGUAACGCGUAAAGAACUUGCCUCUUAGACCGGGACAACAUCUGGAAACGGAUGCUAAUACCGGAUAUUAUGGUUUUUUCGCAUGGAGGAAUCAUGAAAGCUAGAUGCGCUAAGAGAGAGCUUUGCGUCCCAUUAGCUGGUUGGUGAGGUAACGGCCCACCAAGGCAAUGAUGGGUAGCCGGCCUGAGAGGGUGAACGGCCACAAGGGGACUGAGACACGGCCCUUACUCCUACGGGAGGCAGCAGUGGGGAAUAUUGGACAAUGGACCACAAGUCUGAUCCAGCAAUUCUGUGUGCACGAUGACGUUUUUCGGAAUGUAAAGUGCUUUCAGUCGGGAAGAAGUCAGUGACGGUACCGACAGAAGAAGCGACGGCUAAAUACGUGCCAGCAGCCGCGGUAAUACGUAUGUCGCAAGCGUUAUCCGGAUUUAUUGGGCGUAAAGCGCGUCUAGGCGGCAAGGAAAGUCUGAUGUGAAAAUGCGGAGCUCAACUCCGUAUGGCGUUGGAAACUGCCUUACUAGAGUACUGGAGAGGUAGGCGGAACUACAAGUGUAGAGGUGAAAUUCGUAGAUAUUUGUAGGAAUGCCGAUGGGGAAGCCAGCCUACUGGACAGAUACUGACGCUAAAGCGCGAAAGCGUGGGUAGCAAACAGGAUUAGAUACCCUGGUAGUCCACGCUGUAAACGAUGAUUACUAGGUGUUGGGGGUCAAACCUCAGCGCCCAAGCUAACGCGAUAAGUAAUCCGCCUGGGGAGUACGUACGCAAGUAUGAAACUCAAAGGAAUUGACGG
RNAcentral lists this ribosomal RNA (899 nucleotides) under uncultured bacterium. Its description in RNAcentral is "bacterial SSU rRNA". It matches the Rfam family "Bacterial small subunit ribosomal RNA", at positions 1 to 916 of the family's 1533-position model. The record is from RNAcentral.